AGCUUUUUGUUUUUUUUUAAAAGGUAAGUUCUGCUCAAUGGUUUUAAAUAGCCGCGGUAAUUUGACCGUGCAAAGGUAGCAUAAUCAUUUGCUUUAUAAUUGGGGGCUGGAAUGAAUGAAUUUUUGAGAUCGUGGCUUUAUUGGGGAGAAAGGGGUAAUUUUCUUUUUUAGUGAAGAAGCUAAAGUAGAUAUGGGGGACAAGAAGACCCUUUUGAGCUUUAUUUUUUGUUCUCUUUUUGGGAGUUGUAAAAUUUGGUUGGGGCGACCAGAGAAGUGGAAUCUUCUCUUUGUAAUUAUGAUCCAGUGGUUUUGAUUAAUAGAUUAAGUUACCAAAGGGAUAACAGCGUGAUUUUUUUUAAGAGUUCUUAUUAAAAAAAUAGAUUGCGACCUCGAUGUUGACUUAUGAUUUCCUUUUUGUGCAGCAGCAAUAAUGGUGGGUCUGUUCGACCUUUAAAGUUUU
This 460-nucleotide ribosomal RNA is filed under the name Poseidonemertes sp. 349. RNAcentral describes it as "partial 16S ribosomal RNA". It matches the Rfam family "Bacterial large subunit ribosomal RNA", at positions 1830 to 2597 of the family's 2925-position model. The record is from RNAcentral. Lineage: Eukaryota; Metazoa; Nemertea; Enopla; Monostilifera; Poseidonemertidae. RNAcentral also lists the same sequence under 1 other name.